GCGAACGGGUGAGUAAUACAUAGGUAACCUGCCCCUGUGCGGGGGAUAACAGGAGGAAACUCCUGCUAAUACCGCAUAGCCAUGAGCACCGCAUGGAGCUCAUGCCAAAUAUCCUUUAUGGGAUAGCGCAGGGAUGGACCUAUGGCGCAUUAGCUGGUUGGCGGGGCAACGGCCCACCAAGGCAACGAUGCGUAGCCGGCCUGAGAGGGCGGACGGCCACAUUGGGACUGAGACACGGCCCAGACUCCUACGGGAGGCAGCAGUAGGGAAUUUUCGGCAAUGGGGGAAACCCUGACCGAGCAACGCCGCGUGAGCGAAGAAGGCCUUCGGGUCGUAAAGCUCUGUUGUAAAGGAAGAACGGCGCAUACAGGAAAUGGUAUGCGAGUGACGGUACUUUACCAGAAAGCCACGGCUAACUACGUGCCAGCAGCCGCGGUAAUACGUAGGUGGCGAGCGUUAUCCGGAAUCAUUGGGCGUAAAGAGGGAGCAGGCGGCCGCAAGGGUCUGUGGUGAAAGACCGAAGCUAAACUUCGGUAAGCCAUGGAAACCGGGCGGCUAGAGUGCGGAAGAGGAUCGUGGAAUUCCAUGUGUAGCGGUGAAAUGCGUAGAUAUAUGGAGGAACACCAGUGGCGAAGGCGACGGUCUGGGCCGCAACUGACGCUCAUUCCCGAAAGCGUGGGGAGCAAAUAGGAUUAGAUACCCUAGUAGUCCACGCCGUAAACGAUGAAUACUAGGUGUCGGGGCCCAUAAGGGCUUCGGUGCCGCAGCAAACGCAAUAAGUAUUCCACCUGGGGAGUACGUUCGCAAGAAUGCAACUCAAAUGAAUUGACGGA
RNAcentral lists this ribosomal RNA (833 nucleotides) under uncultured Bacillota bacterium. RNAcentral's name for it is "bacterial SSU rRNA". It matches the Rfam family "Bacterial small subunit ribosomal RNA", at positions 98 to 917 of the family's 1533-position model. The record is from RNAcentral. Lineage: Bacteria; Bacillati; Bacillota.